UCGUUGAAGACUUAUUUCCUGUGUUCCUUAAGUAGUAAGGCUAACUUUUUUGUUGUUCUUGUUGGAGUCAGAGGUUCAUGUAGGGGUCAGGUUGGUCAUGUAGCUAAGGAUGACUUUGCAUUCCUUACCUUCUUGCCUCAGUUUACCAAGGUAAGUAGCACUGUAGCUUGCCUCCUUUACACUGGGUUUCUCUUUCUACAACUGCUCGUAGUGUCUGUUGUAUAACUUAGCUCUCGACUAUGUCUGUGAUCAUCUUAUCUCUGUUUCCUUAAAGAGAGUGACAGCUUACACUUGAUAUCUCUACAUUGCACAGCACUUAAAAUAAGAAGGUAACAAGCACUUGGAGGCCAGCCACUCAGAAGGGUAAUGCCAGCUUGGGCAGCAGAGCAAAAAACUUUCACACAUACCUAAAAUAAAAAUAGCCUAGAGUGGCCGGGCGUGGUGGUGCACACCUUUAAUCCCAGCUCGGGAGGCAGAGGCAGGCAGAUUUCUGAGUUCGAGGCCAGCCUGGUCUACAACAUGAGUUCCAGGACAGCCAGGGCUACACAGAGAAACCCUGUCUCGAAAAACCAAAAAAAAAAAAAAAAAAAAAAAAAAAGCCUAGAGUGGUAGCAGGUGCUUGUGAUCCCAGCAUGCUGAAAGUCGGGCACAGUAGGAUUGCCUUAAGUUUGAGGCUUGAUUGCCUUAGUCUGGACUACAAAGUGAGGUCUUGCCUCAAGUCAAAGCAACAAAUCAGCAGGUUUGAUGGCACCUGUCUAUAAUCUUAGCACUUGGGAGAGAGAAGCAAGAUCAGGAGUUCUAAGUCAUCUUCAUCUUCAAGUACAUAGUGAGUUCCAGACCAGAUUGUCUUAAAAACAAAACAAGC
RNAcentral lists this long non-coding RNA (865 nucleotides) under Mus musculus (house mouse). RNAcentral describes it as "long non-coding RNA chr9:56973873-56974738". The record is from RNAcentral. Lineage: Eukaryota; Metazoa; Chordata; Mammalia; Rodentia; Muridae.